Non-coding RNA from Parasteatoda tepidariorum (common house spider), 473 nucleotides. The record is from RefSeq and is a predicted model, not a curated record. NCBI's taxonomy places the organism in Eukaryota, Metazoa, Arthropoda, Arachnida, Araneae, Theridiidae.
GGAAAAUAUUAUUAAUAAAUUAUACACAUAAUGCAUGAACAAUGCUGUAAAUUAAGCAGUAUUAUUUUUAAUUGUUCUUUUUGAAAUGCUGAUAAGCGUUGUUGGCAUUUUUUAUGACGUGUCUUGACAUGAAAAAGAAGAAAAGUAUUUUCCGCUGCAUCAUAGUUCUGGUUGAUCAGUUAAAUGAAGCUUUGGAAGUAAGCUCAUCUGAAGUUUUAAAACUUUGAAGAAUAUGAGCUGGAAUGUAAAAGUGCUGGAAGAAAGCUUUUUAUUUAGUUUCCCAUCCCAGUUGCUCGUCCUUUGUUGACAGCUUAUUGUGCACCUACAACCCUAGAAUACAUUAGAAAAAAGUUACAGUAACAGUAAAAUCAAGGUAUUCUUUUUAUAUUUUAUUUUAUUUGCAUCCAAUGUUAUUUAGUUAGACCCCCGUUAUAAUAGAGAUUAGUUUUUUUCCGCUUUUUUUAAAAAUUAAU